AUGAACGCUGGCGGCGUGCCUAAUACAUGCAAGUCGAGCGAACGGACGAGAAGCUUGCUUCUCUGAUGUUAGCGGCGGACGGGUGAGUAACACGUGGAUAACCUACCUAUAAGACUGGGAUAACUUCGGGAAACCGGAGCUAAUACCGGAUAAUAUUUUGAACCGCAUGGUUCAAAAGUGAAAGACGGUCUUGCUGUCACUUAUAGAUGGAUCCGCGCUGCAUUAGCUAGUUGGUAAGGUAACGGCUUACCAAGGCAACGAUGCAUAGCCGACCUGAGAGGGUGAUCGGCCACACUGGAACUGAGACACGGUCCAGACUCCUACGGGAGGCAGCAGUAGGGAAUCUUCCGCAAUGGGAGAAAGCCUGACGGAGCAACGCCGCGUGAGUGAUGAAGGUCUUCGGAUCGUAAAACUCUGUUAUUAGGGAAGAACAUAUGUGUAAGUAACUGUGCACAUCUUGACGGUACCUAAUCAGAAAGCCACGGCUAACUACGUG
RNAcentral lists this ribosomal RNA (496 nucleotides) under uncultured bacterium. RNAcentral's name for it is "partial 16S ribosomal RNA". It matches the Rfam family "Bacterial small subunit ribosomal RNA", at positions 29 to 507 of the family's 1533-position model. The record is from RNAcentral.